Molecule: unclassified non-coding RNA, 166 nt
Filed under: uncultured fungus
Lineage: Eukaryota; Fungi
Also listed under: 1 other name
Description: sequence contains ITS1, 5.8S rRNA gene
Source: RNAcentral
CAAUUUUGGCGCACCAAGAUGCCCUCGGGCGUUGCGGUGUUGUCAAUCGAGAUACCAACCCAUGUCUUUUGAGCACCUCACGUUUCCUCGGUAGGCUCGCCUGCCAAUGGGGACCACUUUAAAACCUUUUAUGUAUGCAGUAAACGUCUACAAAUAAAUGAAAUCA